UACGUAGGGCGCGAGCGUUGUCCGGAAUUAUUGGGCGUAAAGAGCUCGUAGGCGGCCUGUUGCGUCCGCUGUGAAAUCCCAGGGCUCAACCCUGGGCGUGCAGUGGAUACGGGCAGGCUGGAGGCAGGCAGGGGAGAACGGAAUUCCCGGUGUAGCGGUGAAAUGCGCAGAUAUCUGGAGGAACACCGGUGGCGAAGGCGGCAUCCUGGACCGGUAUUGACGCUGAGGCGCGAAAGCCAGGGGAGCAAACGGG
RNAcentral lists this ribosomal RNA (253 nucleotides) under uncultured bacterium. Its description in RNAcentral is "partial 16S ribosomal RNA". It matches the Rfam family "Bacterial small subunit ribosomal RNA", at positions 524 to 776 of the family's 1533-position model. The record is from RNAcentral.